This 87-nucleotide transfer RNA is filed under the name Neosynechococcus sphagnicola sy1. It matches the Rfam family "tRNA". Rfam says of the family: Transfer RNA (tRNA) molecules are approximately 80 nucleotides in length. Their secondary structure includes four short double-helical elements and three loops (D, anti-codon, and T loops). Lineage: Bacteria; Bacillati; Cyanobacteriota; Cyanophyceae; Neosynechococcales; Neosynechococcaceae. The record is from Rfam by way of RNAcentral.
GGAGAGGUGGCAGAGCGGUUGAAUGCGGCAGACUCGAAAUCUGUUUUGAGGUCACACUCAACGGGGGUUCGAAUCCCCCCCUCUCCG